Long non-coding RNA from Helianthus annuus (common sunflower), 1401 nucleotides. RefSeq lists it as uncharacterized. The transcript has 2 exons. NCBI's taxonomy places the organism in Eukaryota, Viridiplantae, Streptophyta, Magnoliopsida, Asterales, Asteraceae. The record is from RefSeq and is a predicted model, not a curated record.
CCAUAGCCCAUAUUAACUCCCCUCCCUCAACCCUAGUCUGUCAUUUCUUUAUAAUCCACGCCUCCAAAUCCAAUGAAUUUCGAUUCGCAAAUGUCACAAUAAUCAGGUGUCUUCCUCAUGCCUUUUGUGUCUUCUUCAUCAUUUUUGUAUCUAGGUUCUUUGGAUUUUCGAAGUAAUUUCUUAUCAAUUUUCCUUGGUUUUUAUUUUACAAUGAAUGAUUAAAUUCAUGAACAUAUAUGUUUGAACUUGUGAUUUGGGUUGAACUAAACAAAAUUCGUUCUUUCGUAUUGUUAGUAUGCAUACAAGUUAGUCGAUGAUAUGCCUAAAUGAGAAUAGCUUGAUUAUUUCAAUACGAACUUGUGAUUUAAGAGGACCAGUACUCAAUAUCUAUGAUAAAAUCUUGUUCCCGUUAUUUUUGAUGUUGAGAUUGAGUUGAACUUUAAGCCAUUGUUAUAUCGCUACUGAAUAUAAAUCACAUGUCAUGUGUUCUUAAGUUGAUCUACAAAAAUAAACUUUUUUGGUGUUUUUUUUUUUGAGUGCUCAACUUAUAUGAUAUGCAAAAAUCAAUUUUGGGUGAAAUUAAGUAUAGCCAGAAUUGAUUGAUGUGUCCUUGUUUAUCAGUAUUGCUAUUUGAUGAUCACAUAAAUGAACAUAUAGAAAAAUAUUACAGGUUGAUGUUAUUUAAGAGUGAAUACUCAUAUUUAAAAGAAUAUAUAUUUAUACUAAUGGCUUAAAAAUCCAAAAAGUAUAUUAACUUCUGAUUAGCAAAUGGUACCGGGUAUCGGUUUGGGACCGGUACGGUAUUUACUAAAUUUUACCUUUAAAAAAGUUCGGUACCGAACCAGUAUCGAACGUACCAUACCGACUGGUACACAUUUUUUGGAUAUUUCGGUAUCGAGCUCAUCCCUAAUUCAAAGUCUGAGUAUGAGUUUGAUUUUGUUUUGACUGGAGAUUUUUGGAACGAUGGAAUAAGAAAAGGGCUUUGUUGCAAAUCAAACGUUGGAAAGUGGCCAAUCAGUUAAGCAUUCCAAGCACUCUUCUGAAAUAUUCCACUUUUUAGUACAUCUUUUUUUCCAUUUCACGAUCAAGGAGGAUGUUUGUGUAUUGUUUGCAGAUAAAACAAUUAUUCUUCGCUUUGUAUUUUUGUGUUUCUCAAACUAGGAAGAAGUUCAUUUGCUGUGAUAUACAAGAGAUACAAUUACAGGAAACUUUAACCAAUUACAACAUAGCGGCGGAUAAUCAAGAACUUUGGAGCAUUAACGGAUGUCAACAAGCCCGUCUUCCUUUUCUUAAUAUAAGUAAUGUUUAUUUAUUUGUGUUAUUGAACCCACAAGUUGUACAUCUUUAUAUUUGUUGUAUUCGUUCACAUGUAUUACUCUAUCUAAGUGUAUUUCGUGUAGA